Molecule: ribosomal RNA, 482 nt
Filed under: uncultured bacterium
Lineage: Bacteria
Description: bacterial LSU rRNA
Rfam family: Bacterial large subunit ribosomal RNA
Source: RNAcentral
GAUAGCCCCGUAAACGUAAGAUUUUAAUGGAUAGCAGGAUCCUGAGUAGCGCGGGGUCGGAGACGCCUUGCGUGAAACUGCCAGCACCAUCUGGUAAGGCUAAAUACUACUGAGAGACCGAUAGUGAACCAGUACUGUGAAGGAAAAGGUGAAAAAGAAUCUUGAACAAAGAAGUUAAAUAGAACCUGAAACCGUGCGCUUACAAGCGGUCGGAGCCCUUUCGUGGGGUGACGGCGUGCCUUUUGCAUAAUGAGCCUACGAGUUACUCCUCAAUAGCAAGAUUAAGUUCUUCAGGAACGUAGUCGCAGCGAAAGCGAGUCUGAAUAGGGCGUAUAGUUAUUGGGGGUAGACGCGAAACCUGAGUGAUCUACCCAUGGCCAGGAUGAAGUUGCCGUAACAGGUAAUGGAGGUCCGAAUUGGUAAGCGUUGAAAAGCUUUCGGAUGAGCUGUGGGUAGGGGUGAAAGGCUAAUCAAACUGGGAG